GCACCAGUGCCCGAGCGGCCUAAGGGAACGGUCUGCAAAGCCGUAAAGUCGCGGGUUCAAAUCCCGCCUGGUGCUCAA
RNAcentral lists this transfer RNA (78 nucleotides) under Acidimicrobiaceae bacterium. RNAcentral's name for it is "tRNA-Cys". It matches the Rfam family "tRNA". Rfam says of the family: Transfer RNA (tRNA) molecules are approximately 80 nucleotides in length. Lineage: Bacteria; Bacillati; Actinomycetota; Acidimicrobiia; Acidimicrobiales; Acidimicrobiaceae. The record is from RNAcentral.